ACUUGGGCCGCUGCUGCCUCUUCCACCCAGCAGGACGAGCACGAGGCCUUUCUGAAUCUGAUGUAAGUGAGGUGGAGAUGAGAUGGGGACAGAAGAUCCUGCAGCGAUGUUGUUUCUUUUUUUGCCUGCUCAAGGUUAGAUGGAUGAGCCCGCCCUAUGUUCUAAUGAGUUCAUCUACGAGGGUGUUGUUCCUUUUUCAUCCGCUGAAGAUCUGAGGAUGAAGAGAAGAAGAAUUUAUCUAAAAGGGUGAAGAAGAUCAAGGUGAUUUUCCUCCCUCUUUUGAACAUUUGUUCUUGCAUUUUGAUGUUAUAAUUUGUGAUGAUUUGUGUGCACUUAUAAGAUAUUUGCUGCUAGGUACAAAGUUUAUAGUUACUGGAAUUGGAUAAAAGAGACUUGUAGGUUCAAUUUUCAAUUACAGUAGUUCAUGUGUUAUGUUUGCUGCAAUGCGUCACUUGUGCGAGAGUGAUCGAGCGAGAGAGAGAAUCGAGAAGUUGAUCAUGAUGGACAUGUUGGUAGACAUGGUGAACAUGUGGCUGCAGUUGGAGAGUGCUCGUUGGAUAUCAGGAGUAGUAUCUUCUUACAAUAGAGGUACCAGCCAUGUUAUACUUUCAGUGUGUUUUUUGGUUCCAUUUACAUGUGAUUAGAGUGAGCUGCACUGGAUCCACAUACUUUCUCCAGCUCCCUUGGAAGCUAAUGUAUUUGCCCCCUCCCCGCCCCCCCCCCCCCCCCCCCCCCUUAUGUACACCAAGAGAUAAACUGUCAUUUUGUAGUAUGCUUUCUUAUGCUUGAGUGACUCAAUAGAUAUUAGGUUUGAGCUGCUAAUUUUCAAAUUUUAAAGUAUAAGAGAGUGACAGACAAGAUAAAAUGUGAUCUUGCAUUGUCUACUACUCUAUUGAUGUGGCUCUUGGUUUCUGAAGCUCCCAGGAUUUGAUAAUAAGUUGUCUUGGGAUUCAUUGGACAAAUGAUCUACCUGGAGCAAUGAUACAGGUAAGCUUUCUUAAGUCAAACAAGAUUAGGUUAUCAAGCGCUAAAACAUCUGAACUAUGGUAAUUGGAAGUGUAGGUUGGUGUUGAAGCCUGAUGGCAUUUUUCUUGCAGUAAAUCUUGGCGGGGAGACUCUUGUGUGGUUUAAAUUUGAUUUUCCUUUGGAUUUCUUCUCAUGUCAGUAUCCAUAUUUUGGUCAUAAGCUAGACUAGAAUGGAUGCUGCAAAGGUUGAAUUGUUUGGUAGAGGGUUGCAUAGGUGGUAGAGACUUGGUCGAUCAAAGGAACCAAUUAGUACCGCAGAAUAGGCAAAGGAUGGAUUUCUAUAGGAAGUAAGGGAAUCAACCAUGUCCAAUCAACAUCAUAUGAUCAUGUUUGGGUGUCGUUAAGGAGAGAGACAACUGAAUUGCAGAUUAAAUAAGGAUGUAAUAAUCAAUAGCUCUGCUCCUUGCAAGUAUGUUCGGUUGUAGAUUGUGCAGAUCGAGUUGUUCCCUGCCAAGGGCUGCUGAAAAAGAGGUACUGCCAUUGUGUCUUGUGGGUGUUUGACCUUAUGUCACGAUGGGAACAUCAUGUGUUCGGCAGAGCAGAAGCCUGAAGCCCUGAACAAAACAUGUUAGUUCAUUGGUGGCCAUUGACAUAAGCCAUCGGAACAAAUGGCUGUUGCACUAUAGCGGCAAGUAGUCGAGGUCAUGAUAUUUUGCACUUCAGACCGUCAGUAGAGCCAUACUAAUACAUCUUUUUGGGUGGAGUUCAAUUUUGAGGAUAGGAAAACGAGAUCUUAUAUACAGAUAAUGAGAUAAAUGUGUAGUUGUCACUUCAAUUUAAUUUAGUCAAAUAUAUAUAAGCAGGUCGCUACCUUCAUUGUCCAAAAGAUUCUACUGAAUGAUAUUGGACAGCGUUACGUCUGUGUAGAAGUAGCUUGUGUGGUGUCGGUGUAGUUUCAACCUUCCGGAAAAAGUAAAUGUUGUGUUGUGUGUGUCAAAACAUCAACAAGAGCUCAAGCUGGUUUGCUUAUCCAGUAAUACUAUGAACACAAGCAAAGCAAGCAAGAGCUCAAGCUGGUUUGCUUAUCCAGUAAUACUAUGAACACAAGCAAAGCAAGCUAUUUUCUGUUUUCUUUUUCCUGAUAUUGCAGUGGAAAUGUUUUUUUUUGCUAUCAAGGUUGAACGUCUACUAGGGAAGUACAGGCACAUUAUGUGGAUCCAAUUCUGAACAGUUAAAAUGUGAAAUAAUGCCUUUUCAAGUCCUUGAACUAAACUCAGUUCCCUCAGACAGACCAAUCUCAUCAAACUGAAACUCAGUUUCCUCUCAAAGCAUGCCACCACCUUUGCUUUGCUGUUGUUUUGGAAUUAUUUCAAUAUGGGUGAGUUCUUUUUUGUAAUUUUACUUUGUAUGUUGGCAACUAAUUGUUUUAAUUGAUUAUUGUUCUUUUAUGAAAUUGAGCGGAAAGAAAAAUACAAAGAAAAAAAUGUUUAGCUAAAUAGGCAAAGCCGCUGAGCGGCUACCAAGUUUAAUACAUUACUCAGUUAUUAUGGAUUUGAGUUAGUGGAAUGGUUGGUGAUGUUUAGUUGGUAGCCACUCAGGGGCUCAAGGCCACUCUAUAUUGUUUAAUUUGAGAAUUUACCAGUGAUGUAUUAAACUUCAUACAAAAUUCAAUGUUUUUUGGUGACUGUUAGAUAGAGACAUGAAUUUUGGGAUGGCAUUCAGUCAAGUACUUGUGUUCUUCAUUUUAUGAAAUCCUCAAUAAGUCUUACCUUUUGUUGGAAGUGCAAGUUCUUAUCAUACAUGCUUGUUCAACAAUAAAGUUCCUGAAAAAACGCAAACAUUUUCGACGCGCACAUGGUUUUAAAUGGGUCUCUGCGCCAUUUGGCGCAACGGGUGAUGAUAUAUACUUAUAUGCCCAUUAUCGAUUUAUAGCUUUUUUUCUCUGCCAAUGUUAUGUUCAUAACUGCUAUUAUUUAACAUUUUUCAUUUAUAUCCCAAAGGUGCGCAUGUAUACUUUGUUCCUUACAUACAUGCGUAAUUAUGAAAAUCAUUAAAGAAGUGUUUCGGUUAUGUAGAACUGCAUGAGUUUGCUGGGCAUGGAUGGCAGUUUGUGUUAUCCAGUAAGCUUGGGAGGGUCUACCUAGGAAAGGUUGUGACCAGAAAAAGGAGCUUGUGGCAAAUGAGAUCAUCCAAAGACUUGAAAAAAGGUUGUUUCUUGGUCUUCUAGACUUGGUAGUCCUCAAGGGCAUCCUUCUAUGUUUGGAUUCUAAAAAUAUUUUGAGUUAAUUCAUUAGACUACUUCAUGCUUUCACUUGGAAUUGCUAGCUAGCAGUGGCGGAGCUUCACCCAAAUUGCUGGGCGGGCCAGUGGAGCCUAGCUGAAGGAAAUUACUACUACGCUGUUAUUCGAUGUCCAAGUAAAUAGGUAAACAUUACAGAAAUUUGCAUUGGUUGGGCGGGCCAGGGCAUAGGUUGGCCCAGUCGUAGCUCCGCCACUGCUGGCUAGUAGUCCUCGAAAUGACAAGGGAGCAUGAGAAGUCUGUUGUAAUUGACAGUGUAUACAUGAUCAGCCUAUUGAUGAUGCAGUACUUAAUAUUAUGAUUAUCUGGUUUACUUGUUGUAUUUUAUUGCGCAUACUAGACCACCAUGCAUCCCCAACCAGGUAAAAAUGUUAUAUCAGGGGGCUUUCAUGAGCUACUUGCACAAUCCUUUAAGCUAUGUUGUGAACUUUAGUGGCCUUAUUUAAGAUUUGUAGGUUGCAGUGUCUUGUGAUGAUUCCAUCAGAAAUCAAAGCUUUAAAUUGGGCUCAUUUGCAGAGCGGAAAUAUAGAGAAUGGACAUCUCAAGGGAAGGAACAUGCCCAAUAUAAUGGCCAAAGAAGGAAUGGAAAUGAGGCUGUAAUAUCAUCUUUGUUCCCAUUUCUUUCAGGAAGUCACAGCUAGGAGUGGGCUAUAAUAUCUCUUUUUUGUUCGGGAAGGAACGUGCUGAAUAUGACCGCCAGUAGCCCUUUUAUCUUUCUCUGAAAGAACUAUGAGCUAGCGUUAGAUUCUUUUCCUGGUACAUAGUUGGUAUGUACAAUUAUCACACAAUAAUGAUCACCAAUGUUUACAUUGUUUGAAUCAUUAACCCAUAUGAUUUCCACUGAUGCA
This is an RNA transcript of Triticum aestivum (bread wheat), 4113 nucleotides long. RefSeq lists it as uncharacterized. The transcript has 6 exons. NCBI's taxonomy places the organism in Eukaryota, Viridiplantae, Streptophyta, Magnoliopsida, Poales, Poaceae. The record is from RefSeq and is a predicted model, not a curated record.